Molecule: unclassified non-coding RNA, 318 nt
Filed under: Hevea brasiliensis (rubber tree)
Lineage: Eukaryota; Viridiplantae; Streptophyta; Magnoliopsida; Malpighiales; Euphorbiaceae
Source: RNAcentral
GGCGCGCCGGGUGAGAGGCCUGCUAUUGCAUAAUGCCGCGCGUGAAUAAACCCAUGCCGGACUUGCCCCUCAUCCGAUCUCGUUAUAGCGAUCCGGCCUCUCCCCGCAGGGCGGGGAGAUGUCUGGGAGGAAGGCCGUUCCGAACCGUGCUACAUGGUCCGGCAUGACCCCGAACUCCCCAGCCGCCGCCGGACACCGGUGGCGGGCCAUGUCGAUCGCUGAUCUGCCCCUGGUCAACAAGCUGGCCGCCCGCAUUCAUCCGGACUACCCGGAGGAUGACGCGGUCUUUGCCGAACGGCUGCGGCUCUAUCCGCAAGG